GAUGAACGCUGACAGAAUGCUUAACACAUGCAAGUCUACUUGAACUUCGGUUUGGGUGGCGGACGGGUGAGUUACGCGUAAAGAACUUGCCUCACAGUUAGGGACAACAUUUGGAAACGAAUGCUAAUACCUGAUAUUAUGAUUUUAGCGCAUCCUAGGCUUAUGAAAGCUAUAUGUGCUGGGAGAGAGCUUUGCGUCCCAUUAGCUAGUUGGAGAGGUAACGGCUCACCAAGGCGAUGAUGGGUAGCCGGCCUGAGAGGGUGAACGGCCACAAGGGGACUGAGACACGGCCCUUACUCCUACGGGAGGCAGCAGUGGGGAAUAUUGGACAAUGGACCAAAAGUCUGAUCCAGCAAUUCUGUGUGCACGAUGACGUUUUUCGGAAUGUAAAGUGCUUUCAGUUGGGAAGAAAAAAAUGACGGUACCAACAGAAGAAGUGACGGCUAAAUACGUG
Molecule: ribosomal RNA, 454 nt
Filed under: uncultured bacterium
Lineage: Bacteria
Description: partial 16S ribosomal RNA
Rfam family: Bacterial small subunit ribosomal RNA
Source: RNAcentral